CCCUUAGAUGUCCUGGGCCGCACGCGCGUUACACUGAUGCAUUCAACGAGCUUAUAACCUUGGCCGAGAGGCCUGGGCAAUCUUGUUAACGUGCAUCGUGAUAGGGAUAGAUUAUUGAAAUUAUUAAUCUUGAACGAGGAAUUCCUAGUAAACGCAGAUCAUCAAUCUGCAUUGAUUACGUCCCUGCCCUUUGUACACACCGCCCGUCGCUCCUACCGAUUGAGUGUUCCGGUGAGGCUUUGGGAGAAUGGCCUCAACAUGAGUUUAUCGUGUUUUGCCGUUUGAACUUAGUCAAACCUUAUCACUUAGAGGAAGGAGAAGUCGUAACA
This 329-nucleotide ribosomal RNA is filed under the name uncultured eukaryote. RNAcentral describes it as "partial 18S ribosomal RNA". It matches the Rfam family "Eukaryotic small subunit ribosomal RNA", at positions 1470 to 1796 of the family's 1831-position model. The record is from RNAcentral.